RNAcentral lists this ribosomal RNA (308 nucleotides) under Potamonautes ballayi. RNAcentral describes it as "partial 16S ribosomal RNA". Lineage: Eukaryota; Metazoa; Arthropoda; Malacostraca; Decapoda; Potamonautidae. The record is from RNAcentral.
UUUUUAAUUAAGAUCUUGUAUGAAUGAUUGGACAAAAGAAAUUCUGUCUUUACACUAAAAUUUGAAUUUAACUUUUAAGUGAAAAGGCUUAAAUAUUCUAAGGGGACGAUAAGACCCUAUAAAACUUUUAUAUUAAAUUAAAUUUUUAUUGAAUUUUUUAUAAUAAUUAAGUUUAGUUUUUUAUUUUAUUGGGGAGAUAAGAGUAUAAAUUAUAUUAACUGCUUUAAAUAUAAACAAUAAUAAAUGAGUAAUUUAUUGAUCCUUUAUUAAGAUUAAGAGAUUAAGUUACUUUAGGGAUAACAGAUGCA